UACAGAGGGGGCAAGCGUUGUUCGGAAUUACUGGGCGUAAAGGGCGCGUAGGCGGCCAACUAAGUCAGACGUGAAAUCCCUCGGCUUAACCGGGGAACUGCGUCUGAUACUGGAUGGCUUGAGAUUGGGAGAGGGAUGCGGAAUUCCAGGUGUAGCGGUGAAAUGCGUAGAUAUCUGGAGGAACACCGGUGGCGAAGGCGACAUCCUGGACCAACACUGACGCUGAGGAGCGAAAGCCAGGGGAGCAGACGGG
RNAcentral lists this ribosomal RNA (253 nucleotides) under uncultured bacterium. RNAcentral's name for it is "partial 16S ribosomal RNA". It matches the Rfam family "Bacterial small subunit ribosomal RNA", at positions 524 to 776 of the family's 1533-position model. The record is from RNAcentral.